Long non-coding RNA from Eriocheir sinensis (Chinese mitten crab), 218 nucleotides. RefSeq lists it as uncharacterized. The transcript is spliced from 3 exons. Lineage: Eukaryota; Metazoa; Arthropoda; Malacostraca; Decapoda; Varunidae. The record is from RefSeq and is a predicted model, not a curated record.
GUUGGUCAUUAUGGAGGUGGUGUCGUGUCUGUCUCUCUCUCUGUCUCUAUCUGUUGGUCAUUAUGGAGGUGGUGUCGUGUCUGUCUCUCUCUCUGUCUCUAUCUGUUGGUCAUUAUGGAGGUGGUGUCGUGUCUGUCUCUCUCUCUGUCUCUAUCUGUUGGUCAUUAUGGAGGUGGUGUCGUGUCUGUCUCUCUCUCUGUCUCUAUCUGUUGGUCAUU